Molecule: ribosomal RNA, 294 nt
Filed under: uncultured bacterium
Lineage: Bacteria
Description: partial 16S ribosomal RNA
Rfam family: Bacterial small subunit ribosomal RNA
Source: RNAcentral
AUCUCCCUACGGGGGGCAGCAGUGAGGAAUAUUGCACAAUGGGGGAAACCCUGAUGCAGCAACGCCGCGUGGGAGAAGGAGCGUUUCGGCGCGUAAAGCCCUGUCAGCGGGGAAGAAGAAAGACGGUACCCGACCAAGAAGCCCCGGCUAACUACGUGCCAGCAGCCGCGGUAAUACGUAGGGGGCGAGCGUUAUCCGGAAUUACUGGGUGUAAAGGGAGCGUAGACGGCGAGGUAAGCCUGAAGUGGAAGCCCGCGGCCCAACCGCGGAACUGCUUUGGGACCUGGUUUGCUG